UACGUAGGGGGCAAGCGUUGUCCGGAUUUAUUGGGCGUAAAGAGCUCGUAGGCGGCUCAGUAAGUCGGGUGUGAAAGCCCCGAGCUCAACUCGGGGAGGCCACCCGAUACUGCUGUGGCUAGAGUCCGGUAGGGGAGCGUGGAAUUCCCGGUGUAGCGGUGAAAUGCGCAGAUAUCAGGAGGAACACCAGCGGCGAAAGGCGGCGCUCUGGGCCGGAACUGACGCUGAGGAGCGAAAGCGUGGGGAGCGAACAGG
Molecule: ribosomal RNA, 255 nt
Filed under: uncultured bacterium
Lineage: Bacteria
Description: partial 16S ribosomal RNA
Rfam family: Bacterial small subunit ribosomal RNA
Source: RNAcentral